This 79-nucleotide small RNA is filed under the name Neorhizobium sp. JUb45. Its description in RNAcentral is "suhB". The stretch from base 1 to 69 matches the Rfam family "Alphaproteobacterial ar15", at positions 44 to 112 of the family's 112-position model. Lineage: Bacteria; Pseudomonadati; Pseudomonadota; Alphaproteobacteria; Hyphomicrobiales; Rhizobiaceae. The record is from RNAcentral.
GGCUGUUCCCCUCUGGAGGUUUUGAAACCUUCAUACCUACGGGCCGCGGUUCUUCCGUCGGCCCAUUUUUUUGCCCGCG